AUGGAUAUCACACCUCCGAUCGUGUGCGAAGUGAACAAACAAACGAGGAACACGAGGACUGUAAAACAGGCUCUUUUGGACACGUCGUGGCCGCUUGAUGUGCAAGGGAAGUUGUCCUUCACAACACACAUUCAACUCUUGCACCUGCAGCAAGCAAUCGCCACGGUACAGCAUGAUGCGGCGGUGGAGGAUCAGUUCACGUGGCCAUGUGAUGUGUCAGGAGUCUACUCGGCCCGCUCCGUCUAUGACAGACUUUGCUCAGGUUUGCAGCGUGCAUCUUCCAACAAAUGCAUUUGGAGGAAUUGGGCACCGCUCAAGUGCAAGAUUCAUAUUUGGUUGACUGUCCAACACCGGAUUUGGACAUCGUAUCGCAGAGCCAGACAUGGGUUGCAGGAGGAGCCAUCGGCCUGUUACACCUGCCUCUAG
RNAcentral lists this ribosomal RNA (426 nucleotides) under Triticum aestivum (bread wheat). RNAcentral describes it as "partial small subunit ribosomal RNA". Lineage: Eukaryota; Viridiplantae; Streptophyta; Magnoliopsida; Poales; Poaceae. The record is from RNAcentral.